UGACGGUAACUUACCAGAAAGGGACGGCUAACUACGUGCCAGCAGCCGCGGUAAUACGUAGGUCCCGAGCGUUGUCCGGAUUUAUUGGGCGUAAAGCGAGCGCAGGCGGUUUAAUAAGUCUGAAGUUAAAGGCAGUGGCUCAACCAUUGUUCGCUUUGGAAACUGUUAAACUUGAGUGCAGAAGGGGAGAGUGGAAUUCCAUGUGUAGCGGUGAAAUGCGUAGAUAUAUGGAGGAACACCGGUGGCGAAAGCGGCUCUCUGGUCUGUAACUGACGCUGAGGCUCGAAAGCGUGGGUAGCGAACAGGAUUAGAUACCCUG
This 319-nucleotide ribosomal RNA is filed under the name uncultured bacterium. RNAcentral's name for it is "bacterial SSU rRNA". It matches the Rfam family "Bacterial small subunit ribosomal RNA", at positions 470 to 789 of the family's 1533-position model. The record is from RNAcentral.